RNAcentral lists this ribosomal RNA (1300 nucleotides) under Microbacterium esteraromaticum. RNAcentral describes it as "bacterial SSU rRNA". It matches the Rfam family "Bacterial small subunit ribosomal RNA", at positions 112 to 1428 of the family's 1533-position model. The record is from RNAcentral. Lineage: Bacteria; Bacillati; Actinomycetota; Actinomycetes; Micrococcales; Microbacteriaceae.
GAGGCGAAUGCGCCCCAUCCUCAUUGCUGACCUUUGGCUACGGCGUCUAAUACUGGUUAAGCCCCGUCACCACCUAAUGUGCGGGUGGAAAGAUUUUUCGGUUGGGGAUGGGCUCGCGGCCUAUCAGCUUGUUGGUGAGGUAAUGGCUCACCAAGGCGUCGACGGGUAGCCGGCCUGAGAGGGUGACCGGCCACACUGGGACUGAGACACGGCCCAGACUCCUACGGGAGGCAGCAGUGGGGAAUAUUGCACAAUGGGCGGAAGCCUGAUGCAGCAACGCCGCGUGAGGGAUGACGGCCUUCGGGUUGUAAACCUCUUUUAGCAGGGAAGAAGCGAGAGUGACGGUACCUGCAGAAAAAGCACCGGCUAACUACGUGCCAGCAGCCGCGGUAAUACGUAGGGUGCAAGCGUUAUCCGGAAUUAUUGGGCGUAAAGAGCUCGUAGGCGGUCUGUCGCGUCUGCUGUGAAAUUCCGAGGCUCAACCUCGGGCUUGCAGUGGGUACGGGCAGACUAGAGUGCGGUAGGGGAGAUUGGAAUUCCUGGUGUAGCGGUGGAAUGCGCAGAUAUCAGGAGGAACACCGAUGGCGAAGGCAGAUCUCUGGGCCGUAACUGACGCUGAGGAGCGAAAGGGUGGGGAGCAAACAGGCUUAGAUACCCUGGUAGUCCACCCCGUAAACGUUGGGAACUAGUUGUGGGGUCCUUUCCACGGAUUCCGUGACGCAGCUAACGCAUUAAGUUCCCCGCCUGGGGAGUACGGCCGCAAGGCUAAAACUCAAAGGAAUUGACGGGGACCCGCACAAGCGGCGGAGCAUGCGGAUUAAUUCGAUGCAACGCGAAGAACCUUACCAAGGCUUGACAUACACGAGAACGGGCCAGAAAUGGUCAACUCUUUGGACACUCGUGAACAGGUGGUGCAUGGUUGUCGUCAGCUCGUGUCGUGAGAUGUUGGGUUAAGUCCCGCAACGAGCGCAACCCUCGUUCUAUGUUGCCAGCACGUAAUGGUGGGAACUCAUGGGAUACUGCCGGGGUCAACUCGGAGGAAGGUGGGGAUGACGUCAAAUCAUCAUGCCCCUUAUGUCUUGGGCUUCACGCAUGCUACAAUGGCCGGUACAAUGGGCUGCGAUACCGUAAGGUGGAGCGAAUCCCAAAAAGCCGGUCCCAGUUCGGAUUGAGGUCUGCAACUCGACCUCAUGAAGUCGGAGUCGCUAGUAAUCGCAGAUCAGCAACGCUGCGGUGAAUACGUUCCCGGGUCUUGUACACACCGCCCGUCAAGUCAUGAAAGUCGGUAACACCUGAAGCC